CAGUGGAUAAAAUAUCAAAUGGUUGUAUACUGUAAAAUCGAAGCAGCGUGUGAAAGUUCAUGUACAAUUAAAGGUAUAUAGAUGUAGAACAAAACUUAUUCUGAUGUAGACAUGAUGUAAAUGAUAAAAACCAUCAAACAAACAACUCAUUUCUGAAGAAGACCCUUGGGGACGAGGUUGUUGAAUGUCUGUAUCGAACCCGAGAUGCCAUGUAUUAUUCAAUAUACUUUUGGAUAGACGAACAAUAAUUUUGAACGUGAACUAUUCGAGUUUGCGGCAGUGGAUUGUGAAAUCUGGAUACGAUUGCAUUGACACUGAACUUCAAAUGGAACGUUUAUGAGAUUAUGUACAGCCUAUGUUAAUAGUAUUUACACAUUGGGCAGUGAUAUUGUGUGCGACAAUACUGACAGUGUAUGUACGAACUUAUUCUAUGAAGUUCAAAAACAUAAAUUAAAGUUAUUAAACAACACGAAUUAGUAAGUAUGUAGAACUUAAUAAAAUAGGUUUGCAUAACAUUCAGCAUUAUUAGUGUUCCGUAAUUACGAAUUACGUUUACCAUGGAUAACUUUUUAAAAGUAUUUCAUUAUUCCCCACACACGUCCUUAAUUAUUUGCAUGCAUGUAAUAGCAUGAUCUUUGUCCCACAUAGGAAACAUUGAAAACAUCUGUUCAGCUGAUCUUAUGAACUCGCAUUGAGCAGCUAUCGAAUCAAUGAGGGCUAGUGUGAAUCCAGUGUUUAAGUCAAUGCUACCAAAGCGACAAUGUUUGGCUCCAAGGUCUAGCCUGUACUUUCUCAUCAAAUUUACAACUACCUUCUUUUCAGCUUGUGACACUUCCCGUACUG
Molecule: non-coding RNA, 843 nt
Organism: Paramuricea clavata
Lineage: Eukaryota; Metazoa; Cnidaria; Anthozoa; Malacalcyonacea; Plexauridae
Source: the annotation of a GenBank genome assembly